This is a long non-coding RNA of Vicia villosa (hairy vetch), 2128 nucleotides long. RefSeq lists it as uncharacterized. The record is from RefSeq and is a predicted model, not a curated record. The transcript is spliced from 3 exons. NCBI's taxonomy places the organism in Eukaryota, Viridiplantae, Streptophyta, Magnoliopsida, Fabales, Fabaceae.
CCUGUGGGCUGUGGCCCAUAAAACAUAAAACUCACCUUCUUCCCUCGUAGUCCUCUACUUCUUCCCCAAAAAUAAGUAACCAUCUUCUUUAAAAAAAAUCAAAAACCCUUUUCUUCCUCUCCGAGUUAACCUAAGAUCCUCUUCAUUAUUCUUUUCGUCGAGCUCAAAAAUCUUAUUAUUAUCGUUGAACUCAGCCUCUACUCACAACCGUAGUAUCGAUUGAACUCCGAAAUCCUAAAGUUGAAGAGAAACCCUAGAAAAUGCCUGAAUCCCAAAUUCAGAAAUCCACGUAUAUUUUACCAGAAAUCCAUCGAUGUCGUAGUAUCGAUUGAACUCCGAAAUCCUAAAAUUGGAGAGAAACCCUAGAAAAUGCCUGAAUCCCAAAUUCAGAAAUCCACGUAUUUGUUACUAGAAAUCUGUUGAAACCGUAAAUAUGUUCCGUGUCCAAGAUUUAUUUCACGAAAACAGAGGAAGCAUUUGAAAAUGGAAGUCAUGUACUAGUAGCCGAUGCUCAUAUUAUAGACACGCAAGGACAUGUAGCAAUGAGACUUUCCAAACCAAGGAGCUAGGUUGAUACUGCUCUUAAACUGCUAAAAUGAAAUAUCCUACUCUGUUUACACUAAUUGACCCCAUUAUUCACAACCUAUGUAAUGCAGGUAGUUCUAUAAGAUCCUCCUCUUCACCAUCACUAAAAUUCCAAUCAUGGCAAGGUCUACACCUCUUGUGACAAAGGUUACCAAUAGGCUGUGUGGACUUUGUAUGAGGUUCUGUAAGAGAGAUGAUAGUAGUAUACGCGAGGCUCAAGUUAUGAUUUAAAUCUAAAUAAAAUGAAUAAACCGGGAUGAAAAGUUGAUUAUCAUAUUUAUUGUCUUCUAAUAUAGUGUCUAUAAUAGUCUUGAUGGACACUUGGUUGUUAAUUUCAUUACUUGUUGAUAUGGUGCCUACAACCUUAAUGGAUGGUUUAUCACUAGGCUACUGGUUGGUUGGUGAAGUGUUGACGGGUUUGACGAGAAUUCUAUUAAUAAUUUUUCUUGUAGGUGUAGGAAUGUCCGCAGUCAUAGGAAGAUGAUAAUUAGGUUGACUCGUGGUUUCUAAAGUGUAUACAGGCUUGGUGGGAAGUUUGAUAAUAUCUUUGCUUGUAGUCGUUGCAGUGUCUACAACCAUAAAGGAAAAUUGAUUACUAGGUUGACUGGGGGCUGUUGAAGUUUCAAUAGUGAUGGGAAGUCCCAUAACAUCUUUUCUUGUAGUUGUUGUGAUGUCUACAAUUAUUGGAAGAUAAUUACCGGCCAGUUCACUGGUUGUUGAUAUAGUGUCAAUAACUUGAUUAGCUAUCGGUGCAUCAUCGAAAGUAACCCAUUUUUUUGUUAAUAUAUGUGUUUAAAAAGACAUUUCAAAAUUUUAUUUUUCUAAAUUUGGUACAAUCUUUUUAUGAGGGGAUUAAUUAAUCAUGGGUUUGAUUUUAUUGGUUGUAUGGAUUUUUUUUAAUGUUGUUAUUAAUUGGUAUUUGAUUAAUGUAGGUGUAGACUAAGUGGAAUUUAAAAAUUCAAUAGCUAUCAAUGGUGUUAGUGGACAUCAUGGAGAUUGCAUGUGUGGUACCUACAAUAAUUUUAUAAUUUUAUGUGGCUACAUUUUGUGUGAUUAACAUGUAACUAUUUGGACCAAGGAUCAAUAGCUAUCAAUGGUGUUAAUGGACGUACAUCAUGGAGAUUGCAUGUGUGGUACCUACAAUUUUGGUUGUGAGGAAUACAGUAAGAUUGGCUCUAAUCAAAAUAUUUAUAAAGGAGAAACUAUAACUUGGAAGGGGAAGCCAUUGUUUACUGGAAAUAGUAUCCAAACUACUAUAUACUUUUGCUCUUAUCAAUCUUCUUUUUCUUUAGACUUAGCCUCUUGAUUUUCUUAGUGUGGCAAUUUACACGGGGAUCCGACUAAUUGGGAUUUGUAACCCAUCCAUCUCUCUUCAACUAAGAAAUUGUAAAAUUUUGUUUGUAGGUUGUAUAUUUACAAUUUUAUUGUAUGAUGAUAGGCUUUAAUGAACAAUACAUAAUAUUUCUUUCAUGAUGAUGUACUUUUCAUACUUGUUAAUAAUAUUUGAGUUGCAUCUGAUAGCUAUGUGCUUUUAUAAUAAAUA